RNAcentral lists this ribosomal RNA (2314 nucleotides) under Psychrosphaera haliotis. RNAcentral describes it as "partial 23S ribosomal RNA". It matches the Rfam family "Bacterial large subunit ribosomal RNA", at positions 1 to 2365 of the family's 2925-position model. The record is from RNAcentral. Lineage: Bacteria; Pseudomonadati; Pseudomonadota; Gammaproteobacteria; Alteromonadales; Pseudoalteromonadaceae.
GGUUAAGUGAAUAAGCGUAUACGGUGGAUGCCUUGGCAAUUGGAGGCGAUGAAGGACGUGUUAAUCUGCGAUAAGUCUGGUUAAGGUGAUAAAAACCGUUAUAAACCAGAAUUUCCGAAUGGGGAAACCCACCCUUUUUAGGGUAUCGUAUAGUGAAUACAUAGCUAUGCGAAGCGAACCCGGAGAACUGAAACAUCUAAGUACCCGGAGGAAAAGAAAUCAACCGAGAUUUCCUAAGUAGCGGCGAGCGAACGGGAAACAGCCGAAUCAGCAUGGUUUAGUGGAAUGCUCUGGAAAGUGCAACGAUAGUGGGUGAUAGUCCCGUACACGACAAGCCAUGUUGGACAUAUUAAGUAGGUCGGAGCACGAGAAACUUUGACUGAAGAUAGGGGGACCAUCCUCUAAGGCUAAAUACUCCCAAUUGACCGAUAGUGAACCAGUACCGUGAGGGAAAGGCGAAAAGAACCCCUGUGAGGGGAGUGAAAUAGAACCUGAAACCGUAUACGUACAAGCAGUAGGAGCAGACUUGUUCUGUGACUGCGUACCUUUUGUAUAAUGGGUCAACGACUUAUAUUUUGUAGCAAGGUUAACCGAAUAGGGGAGCCGUAGGGAAACCGAGUCUUAACUGGGCGAAUAAGUUGCAAGGUAUAGACCCGAAACCCGGUGAUCUAGCCAUGGGCAGGUUGAAGGUUGAGUAACAUCAACUGGAGGACCGAACCCACUAACGUUGAAAAGUUAGGGGAUGACCUGUGGCUAGGAGUGAAAGGCUAAUCAAACCGGGAGAUAGCUGGUUCUCCCCGAAAUCUAUUUAGGUAGAGCCUCGGACGAAUACUUACGGGGGUAGAGCACUGUUUGGGCUAGGGGGCCAUCCCGGCUUACCAACCCCAUGCAAACUCCGAAUACCGUAAAGUAAUAUCCGGGAGACACACGGCGGGUGCUAACGUUCGUCGUGGAGAGGGAAACAACCCAGACCGCCAGCUAAGGUCCCAAAGUUUAUGCUAAGUGGGAAACGAUGUGGGAAGGCUUAGACAGCUAGGAGGUUGGCUUAGAAGCAGCCACCCUUUAAAGAAAGCGUAAUAGCUCACUAGUCGAGUCGGCCUGCGCGGAAGAUGUAACGGGGCUAAGCAUAACACCGAAGCUGCGGUAGCGAAUUUAUUCGCUAGGUAGGGGAGCGUUCUGUAAGUGGUUGAAGGUGGAUUGAGAAGUCUGCUGGACAUAUCAGAAGUGCGAAUGUUGACAUGAGUAACGAUAAUGGGGGUGAAAAACCCCCACGCCGAAAGACCAAGGGUUCCUAUCCCAUGCUAAUCAGGGUAGGGUAAGUCGGCCCCUAAGGCGAGGCAGAAAUGCGUAGUCGAUGGGAAACAGAUUAAUAUUUCUGUACUUUUAAUCAUUGCGAUGGGGGGACGGAGAAGGCUAGGUGAGCACGGCGAUGGUUGUCCGUGUGAAAGUGUGUAGGUAGGCUGCUUAGGUAAAUCCGGGCGGCUAAUACUGAGACACGAGACGAGUCACUAAGGUGAUGAAGUCAUUGAUGCCAUACUUCCAGGAAAAGCCUCUAAGCUUCAGAUGAUUAAGAACCGUACCCCAAACCGACACAGGUGGUCAGGUAGAGAAUACUAAGGCGCUUGAGAGAACUCGGGUGAAGGAACUAGGCAAAAUGGUACCGUAACUUCGGGAGAAGGUACGCCCACGUUAGGUGAAGACACUUGCUGUCGGAGCUGAAGUGGGUCGCAGUGACCUGGUGGCUGCAACUGUUUAUUAAAAACACAGCACUGUGCUAAAUCGAAAGAUGACGUAUACGGUGUGACACCUGCCCGGUGCCGGAAGGUUAAUUGAUUGGGUUAUCUUCGGAGAAGCUCAUGAUCGAAGCCCCGGUAAACGGCGGCCGUAACUAUAACGGUCCUAAGGUAGCGAAAUUCCUUGUCGGGUAAGUUCCGACCUGCACGAAUGGUGUAAUGAUGGCCACGCUGUCUCCACCCGAGACUCAGUGAAAUUGAAAUCGCAGUGAAGAUGCUGUGUACCCGCGGCUAGACGGAAAGACCCCGUGAACCUUUACUACAGCUUGACACUGAACAUUGAGCCUACAUGUGUAGGAUAGGUGGGAGGCUAUGAAACUUGGACGCCAGUUCAGGUGGAGCCAUCCUUGAAAUACCACCCUUGUAUGUUUGAUGUUCUAACAUUGGCCCCUUAUCGGGGUUGUGGACAGUGUCUGGUGGGUAGUUUGACUGGGGCGGUCUCCUCCCAAAGAGUAACGGAGGAGCACGAAGGUUUGCUAAGUACGGUCGGACAUCGUACGGUUAGUGUAAUGGUAGAAGCA